GACGAACGCUGGCGGCGUGCUUAACACAUGCAAGUCGAGCGGUAAGGCCCCUUCGGGGGUACACGAGCGGCGAACGGGUGAGUAACACGUGGGUGACCUGCCCUCAGCUCUGGGAUAAGCCUGGGAAACUGGGUCUAAUACCGGAUAUGACUCCAUGACGCAUGUCGUGGGGUGGAAAGCCUUGUGCGGCUGGGGAUGGGCCCGCGGCCUAUCAGCUUGUUGGUGGGGUGANGGCCUACCAAGGCGACGACGGGUAGCCGGCCUGAGAGGGCGACCGGCCACACUGGGACUGAGACACGGCCCAGACUCCGUACGGGAGGCAGCAGUGGGGAAUCUUGCGCAAUGGGCGAAAGCCUGACGCAGCGACGCCGCGUGAGGGAUGACGGCCUGGU
This 392-nucleotide ribosomal RNA is filed under the name uncultured bacterium. RNAcentral's name for it is "bacterial SSU rRNA". It matches the Rfam family "Bacterial small subunit ribosomal RNA", at positions 28 to 420 of the family's 1533-position model. The record is from RNAcentral.